RNAcentral lists this ribosomal RNA (253 nucleotides) under uncultured bacterium. Its description in RNAcentral is "partial 16S ribosomal RNA". It matches the Rfam family "Bacterial small subunit ribosomal RNA", at positions 524 to 776 of the family's 1533-position model. The record is from RNAcentral.
UACGGAGGGUGCAAGCGUUAUCCGGAUUUACUGGGUUUAAAGGGUGCGCAGGCGGAUAUGUAAGUCAGUGGUGAAAUCUCCAGGCUUAACCUGGAAAUUGCCGUUGAUACUAUAUAUCUUGAAUGCUGUGGAGGUAAGCGGAAUAUGUCAUGUAGCGGUGAAAUGCUUAGAGAUGACAUAGAACACCUAUUGCGAAGGCAGCUUACUACGCAGAUAUUGACGCUCAUGCACGAAAGCGUGGGGAUCAAACAGG